UACAGAGGGGGCAAGCGUUGUUCGGAAUUAUUGGGCGUAAAGCGCGCGUAGGCGGCCACUUAAGUCGGAUGUGAAAGCCCCUGGCUCAACUGGGGAAGUGCACCCGAAACUGAAUGGCUUGAAUGCAAAAGAGGGUCGCGGAAUUCCCGGUGUAGAGGUGAAAUUCGUAGAUAUCGGGAGGAACACCGGUGGCGAAGGCGGCGACCUGGGUUGACAUUGACGCUGAGGCGCGAAAGCGUGGGGAGCAAACAGG
Molecule: ribosomal RNA, 253 nt
Filed under: uncultured bacterium
Lineage: Bacteria
Description: partial 16S ribosomal RNA
Rfam family: Bacterial small subunit ribosomal RNA
Source: RNAcentral